UCCCUGGUAGCUGAGCUGGUAAAGAAUCCGCCUGCAAUGCAGGAGACCCUGGUUUGAUUCCUGGGUUGGGAA
This 72-nucleotide transfer RNA is filed under the name Bos taurus (domestic cattle). It matches the Rfam family "tRNA". From Rfam's summary of the family: Transfer RNA (tRNA) molecules are approximately 80 nucleotides in length. The record is from Rfam by way of RNAcentral. RNAcentral also lists the same sequence under 2 other names. Lineage: Eukaryota; Metazoa; Chordata; Mammalia; Artiodactyla; Bovidae.